UACGUAGGGUGCGAGCGUUGUCCGGAAUUACUGGGCGUAAAGAGCUCGUAGGUGGUUUGUCGCGUUGUUCGUGAAAACUCACAGCUUAACUGUGGGCGUGCGGGCGAUACGGGCAGACUGGAGUACUGCAGGGGAGACUGGAAUUCCUGGUGUAGCGGUGGAAUGCGCAGAUAUCAGGAGGAACACCGGUGGCGAAGGCGGGUCUCUGGGCAGUAACUGACGCUGAGGAGCGAAGGCGUGGGGAGCGAACGGG
RNAcentral lists this ribosomal RNA (253 nucleotides) under uncultured bacterium. RNAcentral's name for it is "partial 16S ribosomal RNA". It matches the Rfam family "Bacterial small subunit ribosomal RNA", at positions 524 to 776 of the family's 1533-position model. The record is from RNAcentral.